ACAAAAAAGAAAAAAAAAAAGAAAAGGAUCUUUUGUUAGGCUGCCAUGAGUUACUGUCUUGCUAUUCAGAAAAGCUGUUUUCAAAAAUCUGCUACAUUCUUGUGCACAGCUUCAAGAUCCAGGUUUUUCACUGCUAAAUUAGACACACCAGACAGAAUUACUUUGGAUUAUCAACAGCAAUUCAGUUAAGCAAGAAAAUUAAAUUUCCUCAAUUAAGUCUUGACAGAAAUAGGCUUUCUUUCAUGCAGCAUGCUAGGAUUCUGCUGCAGUUCUCCUUCAAACAACCCCCAAAGCGAGAACUUCCAGAAGAUGUUUGCGUUUUUCCUUCCCCGUUGCGGCCGCUGCCGGUGGCUCGCGGCGGAGGGAGGUCGGCCCCGUGCAGGGCCGGGCCCACACGUGCUCGAGGUGCCUCGACACACACCCACCCGUCUAAAGGCAGGUUGAGCUCGCUGAGCUCAGCUCCCCGUUUCCAUUUAACCAAUUUCACUGUUUUAUAUAGUUCGAUGUGCUGAUGUACAUUUUAAUCUACAAAUAUUUCGAGUCCCACUGACGCAGCUGUCAGGAGGAACUCCCAGCAGGCAGCGUAAGCCUGGAGCUCAGCCUGUAAGGAGCGGAGAGCUACAUAAAAAAGGGUACUUUAAAUAACUUCGUUUUUAACCUAACACAAGGAAGUGCUCUUCUGUUCCAGCACAGCCAGGCUUUUGUGCCUCUAAAGCUCUACGGCCAGAGCUCACACGGUCACAGCCUCCUCGUUCCCCACAGCCCAAGUGUUUUGGCACUGCUCUGCCCCGUGGCCUCGAGGCCACUUUACUGCCGUCAUUCACACACAGCCGAGUGCCACAGGUAGGCCAGCACAGCGGUGGGGGCUGAGAAAAUUAAACUGGUACAUUUCCUUAUUUCUUGCGGGGAUGAAGGUUCCCGGUAGUGAGUCUGUAUCUGGAAAACUAGAAUGAUCUCAACCCAAUUCUUUAAGGAUUUUAAAUCAACAUAUAGUCAAUGGGAUUGAUUUGCCUUAUUCUGAGUGCUAAAUGCAGCUGUCACUGUGUCCUUCAUCCUCAGUCCGUUAUUGAUAAAUUCCUGGCCCUACUGACUUAAUAUAUGCCUAUUGACUUAUUUGUUAUUUUCCAUUCUUAAUAGCAGCCACUGCGGAGACUUCUGCUAACAGUUAUUUUCAGAAGAAAAAAAAAAAAAAAACACAAACCACCCUUCUUCCUCAAAUGAAACUUGCAGAGUUUAAAGAGCUUCAAUUUUCCAGCAGUAGCUAGAGAAGAUGGGCUGUGAAUUUUUCUUUCCCCGUGCACGGCGGCAGCGUGCCUUGUCCAUGCACACUGCAUGCAGGCUGACUUUCACGGUGUGUCUGCAGCCUGCACGCUCGGUUCUCAUAUUUCUGUAAGGUUCGAGUCCCAAAGGAAGCAUUAAUGCUAAAGGAAUGCAUACCAGCGUGUAACUAGUCUAAAAGUCAGUACAAAAUCUCUCCAACAGAUUGCUCAGAGAAACACCUCUUUUUUACUGCAUUUAAGAUCUGCAGAUUGAUCUCAUGAGCAUUUGUGCAACAGUUUAGUCUCAAACUGAUAAGAGUGCUGCACAAAGAGAGAAAGGGAAUCAAAGGAGAUUAAAAAGCGCUGGUCUUCAGGAAGAUAAGCGACCUCGAGCCGCCACGUGACCCCGCCAGCGCUCCAGCUCGGCCGCCUGCGGAUCUCAUCAGGGAACCAGAUGUGACCAGUGGCAGAAUAUCCUGCGCAGCGUGAGAUCUGGAGUCUGUGAUUGCCAUCCAGGAAAGGGGAGAUGGGAAAGUCUGCUCCUAGCAUCAGUGCUAUAUAAUUUCACAGCCAGAGAAAGCGGGAUACAUUUUGCUGUGAACUUCUGCAGGAGCAGGACAGCACCGUAACACUGCAGGACAGGACAACAACAUGGCAGGACUUUUGGGUCCUGCUCGUGAGUCGGGACUCAAACCGCAUUCAGUGUUGUGCAUAAAAAAUUCAGAACAAAGGAAGAUUCCUGCCCAUAAAAAGCCUGCAGGCAGCAGCUCAGAGACACUGCAGUGGGAGAUCGUUUGCCCAGGGUCGCACAGCAAGUCAGUGGCAAGAAGAAAUGAGGCCCCAGAAGGUCAGCUUUCCAUUCUAAAGCAGGAAGGAGGAAAAGAUUCUGCACAAAGUCACAAAUUCCAGCCCAAAUCUAAAGCACGUUCUCUUCAAGGGAAGAGAAGAGAGCAGGCAUGUUGUAUCUAACACCGCUGUGUAGGGCCAUGCCAACACUGCAAGUCCUCGGGGUGCCCCUGCACAGGCCCUGACUGCUGCUCUGCUGGAGCAGCCUCUAGGAAACAGCAAGUCAGAUAAAGACGAGUUGCAGUGAAUGGAAAAUGGAAAACAGAUGCCAUACCAUCACGUUAUUUCCUCAAUGCAAGCUAAAAACAACUGACAGUUUCCCAUCAUACUGACUACUCAGGGCCCCAGUCAAACGGCUGGCAAAGUUUCUUUACUCCAAAACACUGGGGAUAAUGAAUUCAGAAGUUCUGAACAGCUGCUUUUCAUGGAUCAUUUAGAAUUUGCGAUGCAAAUAUGAAAAAUCCAUCUUAAAUGCCCUCAACUAAUUGAGUGGAGUACAGUGAAUACAAAGGAACAGAUCACUGACCUUGGUGAAAACAGCACAAAAGCCUUAAUCUGCCCAGAGAGACCCAGAAGGUUACCGAGGAGCAGAAGAGAGCAGAAGCCCGUGUACUCUCACUCGGGUUCCUAAUUCUGCUGGCCACGAGGCAGCUACAAGCCUUUCCUGUGGGGCACACGCAGCAGCCCCCAGCGCCCUCCCUUACAAACCACAGCAGUGGAGAAGGAGGUGGGUGGAAGCUGGGCUCCGGCCAGAUCGCUGGUGUUGGAGCUGACAAUUCAAAGCAGAACUUGACGCUGGGGGCGAAGAGAGAACGGUUACACAUACCUCUUAGGAAAGGUUUUAGGGAUGGAAAUACUGAUCUAAACUAAAUCCCAGGAGCCUGACAAUUCUUCUGCAGAACUUCCCUGAGACCCUGGGACGCUGCCAGCUUUAUGUGAUGGAAAGGAAGACUGCCAGGUCACAGGGCAUGCCACAGAUGGGAUCUGACUUCUAAGCAGUUGUUUAAUUUAGGCCUGGAACACGAUUUAUGGGAGUCUAUCUGAAAUCACGGAGAAAAGAAGGCACAGAGCUGGAGGGUAGAAGCAGGUACGUGUGAAUUCACAUGAGACAAACUGUCUGUGGGGCGAAUAUUCCUGCGAGGCUCCGAGUUUCCAUCUCUGUUUUAAGGAGGGGGAAGCUGACUCUUCAAGUGAAAAAAUGCCUCUAACAGUGAAUAGCAGCAGGGGCAAGAAUGCGACCACACCGGCCCUGCCGCCCAGCUUUAUGGGUUCCUGCUCCCUGCACUCCCCUGCAGGAAGGACGUGUGGGAAGGCAGGAGUUUGGUGUCACUUCCCUGCUGCCCCGAGCCCAAUGCACACAGGACAGGACGAGUACCAGGGGUACGGCGCCUUCGUGCACCACCCCCGGGCUCUGUGCCCCCAGCCCAGCGCAAGGCGUGGGCAUUUCGGUCACGUUCCCGGGGGGUUCCCCAGCCAGCUCCACGGCAUUUUGUGUUGCUCCUACUGUGCAGCACCUGGCCCCGAACCCGGCUGGCCCUCCCGAGCACUUGUCGUUUUCUCUCUUCCCUCUCCUCCCCUCUUAAAAAGAGAAAGAAAACAAAACCAUUUCCCCACAGGCUGCAGACACAAGUGAGAUGCAGGUGCAGGCUGCACAAAGCUAAUGAGUUCAAAUCCCAGCGCCCCGCACACCCUCACGGAGGAGCUGCCCGGCCCUUUGAAGGGCAGGAAUGAAAGGAGCAGGGGCGCAGGGUGCACCUCGAGAUGUGGGGCUGCUCCCCCAGCCCGGCCCGCAGGCGGCCAUGGGACAGACAGACGGACAGACGGACAGACGGCUGGACUCGAUGCCUGCCCCUGACUGCCACCGUGCCUCCCAGCAGCACCCUUCCUGGUGCUGAGCACUGUGCCUGCUUCUCGUGGGCUCCUGGGUGCUUUCCAAACCAAGACCCACUCAGACCUCCCCGUGAAAGAGGUGCAAGGAGCGGCUGCAGGCAGAGAGCAGGACAGCCGGCGCCUCUCCUGGCUGGGUUCAAACCACCACGGAGCCCCACAGCUCACCCCAUCCCAUGGGGAAACCACCUCUACUGGGUCCUGGCAGCGAUGUGUCAUAACCACCACAACGCCUUGUAGGUCAGGGGGAGGAGAAACGUGUUCCUCAGCCUUAGCCAGUCUCUUCCUGAACAGUCCCUGGCUUUUCUGCUGGCAGUUCAGGUUCCUGUGGUUAUUUUGCCUCUUUGCUACACACGGGGACAGAGGGGAGCUGCCUCCUUCCCGGCUGAGCUGAAUCCUGCUUGGGCCACAGAAACUCAGCGCUGGGGUGGGGACACGCAGUCCAUGCAGCCACCGAGGGGCAGGUUCCCAGGGCUGGACACCUCUCCUUGGCUUUCUGGAGCAGCCGGGCGGGCAGGACCAGCAGCUUCCCCAGGGCUGCUGUGGCUGCUGGGCUGUCUGGUCAGCAGGGAACGCUGAGGGCACGAUGGGUGCGACCCAAACGCGGGGCAUGUGGAGUGCUGGGGUGCACAAAGCUCCCGGCCCCAAGGCUGAACCCACCCAUGCUGCAAAUGAGCACAACUCACAGCACGGCCCCAGCAGCCGGCACAGGACCCGGCUGCUGCUCCAGCCGGCGUGCCCGAGUUCCCCUGGUUGGUUUCAGACCUUCAGCAGGGCACUUCCACGGCUCCCGGUUCGCACCAGUGGGAACGGGAUGGUCCCAGCCCCUCCUCCCAGAAGCCUGGCUGGGGUUCCUCGCAUUUCUUCCUUGCGGAAAGCACUGAGAGUCAAUUUUUUCCCUGUUAAAUCAUCUGAUGUUUUUGGCUCCCCUUCCGAUAGGAAUUCUUUCUUUCUUUUGCAUUAAUUUUGCCCGGUUCCAGCACUGACCCAUGUUUAUGAAAGGGGCUUAUGAGCUGUAAUGUUAACUAGCCUCAGUUUGCUGAUUCAGCAGCAGAAUAAAUAGGUAAUUACACUCUGCCAUAUGUGUCUCUAAUUCCAAAUAGAUGGUGUCCAAAAGGCGCUGCGCAUUACCAGCGGAUGACUGGAGUUGGGACUGUAAAAAUGAGUAAAUUGGUCCCCAAGGCCAGAAAAAGCUCUGUCAAAUCCCACUGUUUAUAUCAUACUGAGUGGCUGACUUGUGGUUAUUUUGUAAUUUAAUACUGCUAAAUGUCAACGGGAAAUCCUUUCAACUACAGUUUGAUACCUAGUGACAGAAAAUCAUUCAAGACUUAGACAAAGCCGCUAGCUCGGAGAGGUGCGUUUUUGCCUUUUUUAAUCUUCGCGCACGGAGCGAGCGGGCGGCAGCUGCCCUGCCCCGGAGGCGAGGCGAGGCGAGGAGCUGCUGGCGGUGCUGGUGCUGCUGCCCCACGGCCCCAGCCC
Non-coding RNA from Anas platyrhynchos (mallard), 5471 nucleotides. Lineage: Eukaryota; Metazoa; Chordata; Aves; Anseriformes; Anatidae. The record is from RefSeq and is a predicted model, not a curated record.